This 60-nucleotide transfer RNA is filed under the name Vaejovis smithi. Its description in RNAcentral is "tRNA-His". The record is from RNAcentral. Lineage: Eukaryota; Metazoa; Arthropoda; Arachnida; Scorpiones; Vaejovidae.
GCUUAAAUAGUUUAUAUAAAACCUUAGAUUGUGGAGCUAAAAAAGUACCAUCUUUAAGCA